CCUACGGGAGGCAGCAGUAGGGAAUUUUCGGCAAUGGGGGGAACCCUGACCGAGCAACGCCGCGUGAAGGAUGAAGGAAUUCGUUCUGUAAACUUCUGUUAUAAAGGAAGAAAGACGGAUGGAGGAAAUGACAUCCGAGUGACGGUACUUUAUGAGAAAGCCACGGCUAACUACGUGCAAGCAGCCGCGGUAAUACGUAGGUGGCAAGCGUUAUCCGGAAUUAUUGGGCGAAAAGAGGGAGCAGGCGGAAGCAAAGGACUGUGGGAAAAGACUGAAGCUAAACUUCAGUAAGCCAUAGAAACCGGGCAUCUAGAGUACAGGAGAGGGUCGUGGAAUUCCAUGUGUAGCGGUGAAAUGCGUAGAUAUAUAGAGGAACACCAGUGGCGAAGGCGACGUUCUAGCCUGCAACUGACGCUCAGUCCCGAAAGCGUGGGGAGCAAAUAGGAUUAGAUACCCCUGUAGUC
Molecule: ribosomal RNA, 464 nt
Filed under: uncultured bacterium
Lineage: Bacteria
Description: partial 16S ribosomal RNA
Rfam family: Bacterial small subunit ribosomal RNA
Source: RNAcentral